RNAcentral lists this transfer RNA (73 nucleotides) under Novipirellula herctigrandis. RNAcentral's name for it is "Planctomycetes bacterium CA13 tRNA-Ala". The record is from RNAcentral. Lineage: Bacteria; Pseudomonadati; Planctomycetota; Planctomycetia; Pirellulales; Pirellulaceae.
GGGCUGGCAUGUUCCAAGGCGGCGACUGACUCUUGCAAAGUCGGUGGAAGGGUUCGAUUCCCUUCUGGUCCAC